GGUCUGCCUCAGUGUCUCUGUCAGUUGUCUCUCAGCGCGGGGGCUGCUGGGUAGCAGGAAUCUGAGGGCCUGGUCACGUGUUUCGGCCCCGGUGGCACUCGGUCAGUCAUGUUGGGAGUGCUGAGCAGUUUCCCGCCGCCCGCUGAAGGGGUGAGGCGGCUCCAGCCCGGGACUGAGGCGGUGAUGAGCGGGCAGAAACUGGGGGCCGGCACCCUGUACAUCGCCGAGAGUCGGCUGUCAUGGCUCAACAGCUCCGGCCUGGGCUUCUCUUUGGAAUAUCCCACCAUCAGUCUACACGCCAUCUCCAGAGACACCGCCGCCUACCCUGAGGAGCAUCUCUAUGUGAUGGUGAACACCAAGCUGGCCGACAAUGAUACAAAUGAAGCUAAGAUGAAAGAUGAGGGAGAGGACAAUGGACAAGAGGAGGAGGAGGAGGAGGAAGAUGAUGAUGACGACGAUGAUGAGGAGCCAAUCACGGAGAUCCGAUUUGUUCCUGAGAAUAAAUCAGAUUUGAGUGAGAUGUUCUCCGCCAUGUGUGACUGCCAGGCUCUGCACCCCGAUCCAGAAGAUGCGGAUUCAGAUGAUGAUUUUGAAGGAGAGGAGUAUGAUGUGGAGGCACAUGAACAAGGCCUAGCAGACAUCCCCACGUUUUACACAUAUGAGGAAGGCUUGUCCCAUCUCACCUCUGAAGGUCAGGCCACUCUGGAGCGGUUAGAAGGAAUGCUGGCCAAUUCUGUCUCCAAUCAGCACACCAUGGCCGGGGUCCGCACCGAAGACUCUGCUGCGGAUUAUGAAGAUGGCAUGGACGUGGAGGCUGUGCCCACCGAGGCCGGACAGUUUGAGGAUGCAGAUGUUGAACACUGAUGGAAUAUAUUUUGGUAGGUUCCUGUGACUCUGGCUAAUCAAUAUCCCCAGGUGCCAGAGGAAUCGCCGUGAACCAAUCACUGUGCGCCGCCGACCCGUUGCCAUUUCAUUAGUCAUUCCAAUUCUUUUUAGACUUGAACUAACAGCCGCUGCCAAGUGUGGACCCCCGGGGGCAUCCAUGACGUUGUCCAGAAGCUCAGUUAGGCCUCGUAGAGCGCGCUAGGACCGUAGAGUCUCCAGAAUUGCUGCUUUGAUUGUUGCGCUGGAUUAUCUGCUUUCGUUUUUUGAUAACCUGUUGGAACUUUCUAAUUUGGAAACGUAUAACAAUUGUCCGUUUCAUAGGAAUCUGGACUGGAAAACAGCGAGCACUUCUCUAGAACCUGAACGAAUUUGUAAGUUCUUAUUAUUGUCUAAUAAACUAGGGUUUUGUAUCUA
RNA transcript from Hyla sarda, 1299 nucleotides. It is a transcript of the gene named chloride nucleotide-sensitive channel 1A, with no coding region annotated. NCBI's taxonomy places the organism in Eukaryota, Metazoa, Chordata, Amphibia, Anura, Hylidae. The record is from RefSeq and is a predicted model, not a curated record. The transcript has 7 exons.